CGGUAACAAACAAAAAGAAAAAAGUGGAACCCGGUGCGCACAACCCAUCGACCCAGAACCCACAUCCCUUCCGAUCCCAACUCCUUCAGCGCCGCCUCCUCCCUCCCCACCGGCGCGCCGCCUCCUCCCUCCCCUGCCCAGUCGCCACCGCCCACGGCCGGCCCCAACCAAGCGCUGUUGCCCGCCGCGCCCGCCGCGCCCGCCGCCCCCAACCACCGGCCGCCAUGCGCCUGUCUCCUUCGGCCGCCGUGCGCCUCCCAACCCCGGCCGUCGCGCGCCUCCUACCCCGACCGCCGCGCGCCUCCGACCCCUGGCCGCGGCGCGCCUCCGACCCCUGGCCGCGGCGCGCCUCCCCCCACCCGGCUCCCUGUGCAACUAUGCAGUCCGUCCUGGCUGAUCUACUCUGGCCGUUCAACUUUGGGUCUUCCGGCCGCUCGGCCAGCGGAGCUCGACGAAGAGCACCCCGGUCUCGCUUGUGUGUGGAGUUCCGAGCAUCUUCUACUGCUGUGUGCUGCUCUCUUCUAUUUUCAACUGAAUGUGCUGCCAUGUGUGGAUUUACUCUCGACUCUAGCCGUUGAUCCAUAGUUCAUUUUCAGUACAGACUCUGAAGCUGCCCAGUACAUGUUGGGGGACAUUUAUGGAAUCACAUAUCCUUCUUGCAGCUGUAAUUUUGAUUGCAUAGCAGUAUAGUUUAGUUGUCUCUGAAGUUUUGAUUCACAGCAGUACAAUUUAGUCCCAGCUGCCAUGAUUCUGCAAACCAUUGGGCUCCCAAAAAGAUGGUGCUUUAUUGCAACAAAUUGUGGGGAAAAUGCAGUGAAAAAAUAAAUUGUGCUCCCAAAAUUUCAUAUGAUAUACUGUUAAAAAAUAAUCAUAGAAAAGUUCAAUUUGUGUUAUUGGAACAACUCAAUUUAUCGGUUUUAUAUUAUAUGAUAAGUGAUGCACAGGGAUGUUGCAACAAUUCGACUCUGAGAGCUAGUAAGUUCGACAAAAAAAACAGCAUAGUGCAUAUCAGUUCGUUUGAAGCAUACCAGUCUUUCAGUUUGUGAGUUUGUCAGUUCGCCGAUGGGAUCCGCAGGUCAUCCCCUCAUCUUCCACAAUUACUCUUCAGCCUUUUUUUUAAAGAAGAAAGGAAGAUAGAUGCCUCUUUAUUACUACCGAGAAGAAUUGUUUUAAGAUAUCGGUCUUACUUCUGUCAAGAUCCAAGGUAUUUUCAAUAUUUUUGGCAAAAGACUAGAUCGAGUGAGAUAUCCUUCUCUGCCUACUCUGUCCAUAACACUCGCCAAAACUGAGCAAGGUGAAUGAAGCCUCGGGACCAGCAGCCACCUGCGCUACAGAAUACAAGUGUUUGCAGUUUGCUCACCAGAAUGUUGAAUGAGACUACAUCAUUAUUACUCAAAAAAUUCAGUUUGUAUUUGUUCAGAAUUGUUCUCUCUAUCCAUGGCAAAGAAUGAUUUUUUCUGGUUUAAUGCAAUCCUCCUGUGGAAGCACUAAAACACGCUACCUGUUGAACUGAUACUGAUAUUGAAGACAAGGAGCAGGACCAAGUGUGCUGGAAGUUUUUUUGUACCCAUGUGCGGAAGCACUUUAUUUUUCUGAUAAUUAUUAUUGUGUUCAUGUGGGUGCUUGAAAAGUUCCGUACAAGAAUAGGCUGUACAAGAAUAGGCCGAUGAUUUUUGUGCUGAGGUCGAUGCUAUGGAUAAUAUGAUUCAUGUACAUGUAUUAUAUGUGUGGAAACAAUUUCUG
This 1743-nucleotide ribosomal RNA is filed under the name Triticum aestivum (bread wheat). RNAcentral describes it as "partial small subunit ribosomal RNA". Lineage: Eukaryota; Viridiplantae; Streptophyta; Magnoliopsida; Poales; Poaceae. The record is from RNAcentral.